GACGAACGCUGGCGGCGUGCUUAACACAUGCAAGUCGAACGGAAAGGCCCUGCUUGCAGGGUACUCGAGUGGCGAACGGGUGAGUAACACGUGGGUGAUCUGCCCUGCACUUCGGGAUAAGCUUGGGAAACUGGGUCUAAUACCGGAUAGGAGCCAUCUUUAGUGUGGUGGUUGGAAAGUUUUUUCGGUGUAGGAUGAGCUCGCGGCCUAUCAGCUUGUUGGUGGGGUAAUGGCCUACCAAGGCGGCGACGGGUAGCCGGCCUGAGAGGGUGUACGGCCACAUUGGGACUGAGAUACGGCCCAGACUCCUACGGGAGGCAGCAGUGGGGAAUAUUGCACAAUGGGCGCAAGCCUGAUGCAGCGACGCCGCGUGGGGGAUGAAGGCCUUCGGGUUGUAAACUCCUUUCGCUAGGGACGAAGCUUUGUCGUGACGGUACCUAGAUAAGAAGCACCGGCUAACUACGUG
RNAcentral lists this ribosomal RNA (466 nucleotides) under uncultured bacterium. Its description in RNAcentral is "partial 16S ribosomal RNA". It matches the Rfam family "Bacterial small subunit ribosomal RNA", at positions 28 to 507 of the family's 1533-position model. The record is from RNAcentral.